This is an RNA transcript of Vigna umbellata (rice bean), 2425 nucleotides long. It is a transcript of the gene named pectin acetylesterase 8-like, with no coding region annotated. NCBI's taxonomy places the organism in Eukaryota, Viridiplantae, Streptophyta, Magnoliopsida, Fabales, Fabaceae. The record is from RefSeq and is a predicted model, not a curated record.
ACAGAAAAAUAUAAAUUAGCACAUUUUUUUAGUGUAGUUUUUGAGGAAAUGAGUGUCGGCUCUGGGUUUUUCUGACCAACUGAGAAAAACCUUUGUACUCACAGAACUAACUGACACCAUAAUUCCAUUACUUAGACUGAAGAUUUAAGCUCGAUACUCUCUCCACCCAACACUGUCACAGAAACAGACUUCUUAACGAUUGUUAGUUACAUUGUGUUUCUUCACCACCUUAUAAGCCUUCACCACCUUCAAUUGCCUUUCAUUAACAAACCUUCUUCAGUGUUCCUUCACCUGUUUUCCUCAACCCAUUCUCCAUCUCAGAAUGGAGGGUGGGAACAUAAGACAGUGGUUGAACUUUCUGGUUUGUGCACUGCUGUUUCUGAUAGCAGAGGCUUCUUAUGUGCCAAUCACCUAUCUUCAGAACGCUGUAGCAAAAGGAGCUGUUUGUUUGGAUGGGAGUCCACCAGCUUACCAUUUUGAUAGGGGAUCUGGAACAGGGAUUAACAAUUGGUUGGUUGCUUUUGAGGGAGGAGGAUGGUGCAACAAUGUCACUACUUGUCUCUCUCGCAAGACCAAUCGUUUAGGUUCAUCUAAGCAAAUGGCAAAGCAAAUUGCCUUUUCGGGAAUUAUGAGCAACAUGCAAAUCUUUAAUCCAGAUUUCUACAACUGGAACAGAAUCAAGGUUAGGUAUUGCGAUGGUUCAUCUUUUACUGGUGAUGUAGAAGAAGUCAAUCCAGUUACUAAGUUGCACUUUAGAGGAGCAAGGAUUUUUGCUGCUGUCAUGGAGGAUUUACUAGCAAAAGGAAUGGAAAAUGCUCGAAAUGCAAUUAUUUCUGGAUGUUCAGCUGGAGGAUUAACUUCAGUACUGCAUUGUGAUCGCUUCCGAGCUCUAUUACCUGGAGGAGCCAGAGUGAAAUGCCUCUCAGAUGCUGGUUAUUUUAUCAAUGCAAGGGAUGUCACUGGGGCAUACCACAUUCAACAGUACUUCAGUCAAGUUGUUACUACACAUGGCUCUGCAAGGAAUUUGCCUCAGUCAUGCACUUCAAGACUUAGCCCAAAGCUAUGCUUUUUCCCACAAUAUUUGGCGUCACAUAUCACUACGCCGAUCUUCUUUGUAAACGCGGCAUACGACUCAUGGCAGAUUAAGAACAUUUUGGCACCUGGUGUUGCUGAUCCUGAAGGCCAUUGGCAUAGCUGUAAGCUGGAUAUAAACAACUGCUCACCUGAUCAAUUAGAUCUAAUGCAAGGCUUCAGGACAGAAUUUUUAAGGGCAUUGACAGUGCUAGGCAACUCUUCAUAUAAAGGAAUGUUUAUAGACUCUUGCUAUGCCCACUGCCAAACUGAAAUGCAGGAGACAUGGUUGAGAAGUGACUCUCCAGAGCUGGAAAAGACAACAAUUGCAAAGGCUGUAGCAGACUGGUUUUAUGAAAGAAGGACAUUCCAUCAGAUAGAUUGCCCUUACCCCUGCAACCCCACUUGUCACAACCGCGUUUUCGGACCAGAAGACGACCACCAAGGAAAAAAUGUGACCUCGAAAGGAACGUCAGAUGCAUCAGCCAGAAAGCUCAAUUUUCCGAAACUAACAAACAAGGCACAAUGGAUUGAGCUUGUGUGCAUUAAUGGAGGAAUCAAUGGGCUUCUACUAACGUUGGGUCUUAUGAGGAAGCAGGAAAAAGCCAAUCCCAUUGGAUUGAACAAUUUUGUGGCCUUGUACAGACUGCAAUAAAUUCCAGACACAGCUUCAUAAUUGGAUUCAGUCAGAGUAAGCUUGAACUUACUGCAAUUGCUUGGCCUAAAUAAUUAUUUUCUGCCUUAUUUUUGGGAGAGAGGAUGUUCUGGUGUUUCUGUUUGACUUCUUUUUCUGUGCCAUCUAUUAUGAGAAACAUUUAUGCAUCUUUUGUUUAAGGUGAAACAGUUGGAGGAAGGGCGUUUUGGUAGGAUGAAAAAGAAAUGAAAGUUCAAAACUUUGGUGGGCUAACUUUCACUCAAAAAGAGAAGAAAACUUGAAAAAUUAGGUGGAUCAUAAUUGAUUAUACGAACAACAUGCAUCUUUAUUUUCAAAUGCUGUGUCAAUUCACGCGAACUGGCUAAGUUCAAGGUGCAUAAAGCCUGCUGGUGAAGCUGCAAUUGUAAUACUGACAGCAUAUAUCAUAGUAUCUUGUUUUACUAAUCUGUUACUCCAACAGGUGUGAAGAAGUUCCAUUGGCUCAGCAUCUUGCACCUACUAGACACUUUGUUUUGUUUUGUUUCUUUCUGUAGUAUUUGCUCAUUAUAGUUUUGAAGGCUCAACUUGUCAAAGGAAUACAAAAUAAAAUAAAAAUAUCAUAUGAUCAUUUACAUAUCUCUGUAGGUGACAUCAUCAUUGUUAGAUUUUCUAUGAGGCUUUAAGAUGAGAGCUCCACUGGCCACUAAUGGGUUAUCAACA